GAUGAACGCUGACAGAAUGCUUAACACAUGCAAGUCAACUUGAACUUCGGUUUGGGUGGCGGACGGGUGAGUAACGCGUAAAGAACUUGCCUCACAGAUAGGGACAACAUUUGGAAACGAAUGCUAAUACCUGAUAUUAUGAUUUUAGGGCAUCCUAGGAUUAUGAAAGCUAUAUGCGCUGUGAGAGAGCUUUGCGUCCCAUUAGCUAGUUGGAGAGGUAACGGCUCACCAAGGCGAUGAUGGGUAGCCGGCCUGAGAGGGUGAUCGGCCACAAGGGGACUGAGACACGGCCCUUACUCCUACGGAGGCAGCAGUGGGGAAUAUUGGACAAUGGACCAAGAGUCUGAUCCAGCAAUUCUGUGUGCACGAUGAAGUUUUCGGGAUGUAAAUGCUUUCAGUUGGGGAAGAAAAAAAUGACGGUACCAACAGAAGAAGUGAGGCUUAAUACGUGCCAGCAGCCGCGGGAAUACGUAUGUCACAAGCGUUAUUCGGAUUUAUGGGCGUAAAACGGGUUUAGGGGGGGUAUAUAAAGUCUGAUGUGAAAAUGCAGGGCUCCACUCCUUUAUUGGCGUGGGAAAAUUGUUUAACUAGAGGGACUGGGAGAGGGAAACGGGAAUUCCAAGGGUUGAGGGGGAAAAUCGGAGAUAAUUGUUGGGGAAGCCCAUGGGGGAAACCAGGGUUCUUGAAAGAAAAUCGACGUUUAAACCCCAAAAACGGGUGAAAAAAAAAGGAAUUAAAUCCCUUUUGUAGCCAGGGGCGAAUUCCCCACUUUGGGGGGGCCCCGGGGAUCCCCCAUUUUUUAGGGGUCGCCCACCCCGGGGCGCCUAAUUUCCCAUAAAGGGGGGUUGGAUAAGAGGGGCGCCCGUGGCUACUUUUUAAAAACGCCGGGGCCCGGAAAACCCCUGGUGUUCCCAAGUAAAGCCCGCUGCAGCCACAUCCCCUUUUUGUGAGCUGUGUUAAGU
Molecule: ribosomal RNA, 962 nt
Filed under: Acinetobacter johnsonii
Lineage: Bacteria; Pseudomonadati; Pseudomonadota; Gammaproteobacteria; Moraxellales; Moraxellaceae
Description: partial 16S ribosomal RNA
Rfam family: Bacterial small subunit ribosomal RNA (bases 1-863)
Source: RNAcentral